This 504-nucleotide long non-coding RNA is filed under the name Monodelphis domestica (gray short-tailed opossum). RNAcentral describes it as "lncRNA (ENSMODG00000047506.1)". Lineage: Eukaryota; Metazoa; Chordata; Mammalia; Didelphimorphia; Didelphidae. The record is from RNAcentral.
AUACUGUUGAAGAGGCAGUUCCCCAACCAACACACUGGAGCUGAAGGUGAAGCUCUGAUCUCUCCUGGACUCCCCUGGACAGCUAGCAAGCAGUCACUUUUAAUUCCACCAUAGAAGGAGCUCUGAAGUUUCUAAAAGAAGCACUGGGCAGCAUAUAAAGAAAUCCCAUAUGCGAUGUGGUACAGAAACUGGAUAGGCCAAAAUAUCAAUGGGAUAUAGGGAGAUGCAUCUCCCCCUAGAAUAGUAAGAUUAGGUAAGCUUCCCAACUGAAAGGUAUCCAAACAGCACAAAACCCUCCAGGAUCAGAAGCAAGAAAGCACACCCUAAAGCUGUAAGCUCUAGAAGGCUCUGUGGAAAUGGAAGCUGUUUGAGGAAUUUGAAAUGGAAAGAAGGAAGGAAAUAAGGAUUUAUUUAAAACUAUGUACCAGACACUUAAUAAAUAUAACUUCACUUGAUCUUCACCACAGCUCCUGGGGAGAUGAGAAAACUGAGGCUGGUAUGGUG